GGGUCGCUAUCUCAAUUGGUAGAGCAGUUGACUUUUAUUCAAUUGUGCGCAGGUUCGAUUCCUGUACGACCCA
Molecule: transfer RNA, 73 nt
Filed under: Escherichia coli
Lineage: Bacteria; Pseudomonadati; Pseudomonadota; Gammaproteobacteria; Enterobacterales; Enterobacteriaceae
Description: tRNA-Lys
Rfam family: tRNA
About the family: Transfer RNA (tRNA) molecules are approximately 80 nucleotides in length. Their secondary structure includes four short double-helical elements and three loops (D, anti-codon, and T loops). Further hydrogen bonds mediate the characteristic L-shaped molecular structure. tRNAs have two regions of fundamental functional importance: the anti-codon, which is responsible for specific mRNA codon recognition, and the 3' end, to which the tRNAs corresponding amino acid is attached (by aminoacyl-tRNA synthetases). tRNAs cope with the degeneracy of the genetic code in two manners: having more than one tRNA (with a specific anti-codon) for a particular amino acid; and 'wobble' base-pairing, i.e. permitting non-standard base-pairing at the 3rd anti-codon position.
Source: RNAcentral